This 74-nucleotide transfer RNA is filed under the name Bacteroidota bacterium. RNAcentral's name for it is "Bacteroidetes bacterium (freshwater metagenome) tRNA-Lys". It matches the Rfam family "tRNA". Rfam says of the family: Transfer RNA (tRNA) molecules are approximately 80 nucleotides in length. Their secondary structure includes four short double-helical elements and three loops (D, anti-codon, and T loops). Lineage: Bacteria; Pseudomonadati; Bacteroidota. The record is from RNAcentral.
GCCGUCGUCGCCUAGAGGCUUGGCACCUGACUUUUAAUCAGACUUAAACAUGGGUUCGAAUCCCAUCGACGGCA